RNAcentral lists this ribosomal RNA (495 nucleotides) under uncultured bacterium. RNAcentral's name for it is "partial 16S ribosomal RNA". It matches the Rfam family "Bacterial small subunit ribosomal RNA", at positions 28 to 507 of the family's 1533-position model. The record is from RNAcentral.
GACGAACGCUGGCGGCGUGCCUAAUACAUGCAAGUAGAACGCUGAAGGAGGAGCUUGCUUCUCUGGAUGAGUUGCGAACGGGUGAGUAACGCGUAGGUAACCUGCCUGGUAGCGGGGGAUAACUAUUGGAAACGAUAGCUAAUACCGCAUAAUAGCAGUUAUUGCAUGAUAACUGUUUGAAAGGUGCAAUUGCACCACUACCAGAUGGACCUGCGUUGUAUUAGCUAGUUGGUGGGGUAACGGCUCACCAAGGCGACGAUACAUAGCCGACCUGAGAGGGGGAUCGGCCACACUGGGACUGAGACACGGCCCAGACUCCUACGGGAGGCAGCAGUAGGGAAUCUUCGGCAAUGGACGGAUGUCUGACCGAGCAACGCCGCGUGAGUGAAGAAGGUUUUCGGAUCGUAAAGCUCUGUUGUAAGAGAAGAACGAGUGUGAGAGUGGAAAGUUCACACUGUGACGGUAUCUUACCAGAAAGGGACGGCUAACUACGUG